This 253-nucleotide ribosomal RNA is filed under the name uncultured bacterium. Its description in RNAcentral is "partial 16S ribosomal RNA". It matches the Rfam family "Bacterial small subunit ribosomal RNA", at positions 524 to 776 of the family's 1533-position model. The record is from RNAcentral.
UACGGAGGGUGCGAGCGUUAUCCGGAAUUACUGGGUUUAAAGGGUGCGUAGGCGGCUUUGUAAGUCAGGAGUGAAAGUUUGCGGCUCAACCGUAAAAUUGCUUCUGAUACUGCAUGGCUAGAAUUAGGAUGAGGUCAGCGGAAUGUGUCAUGUAGCGGUGAAAUGCUUAGAUAUGACACAGAACACCAAUUGCGAAGGCAGCUCGCUAAACUGUAACUGACGCUGAGGCACGAAAGCGUGGGGAUCAAACAGG